GAUGAACGCUGACAGAAUGCUUAACACAUGCAAGUCCACUUGAACUUCGGUUUGGGUGGCGGACGGGUGGGUAACGCGUAAAGAACUUGCCUCACAGAUAGGGACAACAUUUGGAAACGAAUGCUAAUACCUGAUAUUAUGAUUUUAGGGCAUCCUAGGAUUAUGAAAGCUAUAUGCGCUGUGAGAGAGCUUUGCGUCCCAUUAGCUAGUUGGAGAGGUAACGGCUCACCAAGGCGAUGAUGGGUAGCCGGCCUGAGAGGGUGAUCGGCCACAAGGGGACUGAGACACGGCCCUUACUCAUACGGGAGGCAGCAGUGGGGAAUAUUGGACAAUGGACCAAGAGUCUGAUCCAGCAAUUCUGUGUGCACGAUGAAGUUUUUCGGAAUGUAAAGUGCUUUCAGUUGGGAAGAAAAAAAUGACGGUACCAACAGAAGAAGUGACGGCUAAAUACGUG
RNAcentral lists this ribosomal RNA (454 nucleotides) under uncultured bacterium. RNAcentral's name for it is "partial 16S ribosomal RNA". It matches the Rfam family "Bacterial small subunit ribosomal RNA", at positions 28 to 507 of the family's 1533-position model. The record is from RNAcentral.